RNAcentral lists this ribosomal RNA (467 nucleotides) under uncultured bacterium. RNAcentral describes it as "partial 16S ribosomal RNA". It matches the Rfam family "Bacterial small subunit ribosomal RNA", at positions 28 to 507 of the family's 1533-position model. The record is from RNAcentral.
GAUGAACGCUGGCGGCGUGCUUAACACAUGCAAGUCGAACGAUGAUGCCCAGCUUGCUGGGUGGAUUAGUGGCGAACGGGUGAGUAACACGUGAGUAACCUGCCCUUGACUCUGGGAUAAGCCUGGGAAACUGGGUCUAAUACCGGAUACGACCAUCUGGCGCAUGUCAUGGUGGUGGAAAGCUUUUGUGGUUUUGGAUGGACUCGCGGCCUAUCAGCUUGUUGGUGGGGUAAUGGCCUACCAAGGCGACGACGGGUAGCCGGCCUGAGAGGGUGACCGGCCACACUGGGACUGAGACACGGCCCAGACUCCUACGGGAGGCAGCAGUGGGGCAUAUUGCACAAUGGGCGCAAGCCUGAUGCAGCGACUCCGCGUGAGGGAUGACGGCCUUCGGGUUGUAAACCUCUUUCAGUAGGGAAGAAGCGAAAGUGACGGUACCUGCAGAAGAAGCGCCGGCUAACUACGUG